This 198-nucleotide small RNA is filed under the name Burkholderia glumae BGR1. RNAcentral describes it as "Proteobacterial sRNA psRNA2". It matches the Rfam family "Proteobacterial sRNA psRNA2". Lineage: Bacteria; Pseudomonadati; Pseudomonadota; Betaproteobacteria; Burkholderiales; Burkholderiaceae. The record is from Rfam by way of RNAcentral.
GGGGGACUCCUUGGCGCUUGCGCGCUGUUUUGAUUAAGAUUCGCACCUCUAUCAAAACGGGUAAUCCCGCCUCUUGGCAAGGCCUGACUGUCAGAUCAAGUCUGUACCUCUACACCUCAUACGAGCCUGGAGGAUCGCACGCCGAACGAGGCACACUUCGCUACGCUGCCAGCGAUCCCAUCGUCAGCGUGAUCGCCU